CUCUCUCUCUCUCUCUCUCUCUCUCUCUCUGAAACAAACAAAAGUCCUUUUAGAAAACAACUUUGCUGUCAUGUCUUGUGGAAUGAGGGGGCCACUGAAGAGCUUGUUGCUACUUAGAUUUGAGGUUUGUCACAUACUCACCAUAGAGAAUCCUUGUCUUAUAGAGCAGGUAUCUUCCAAAACUACUUAUUCCAAAAGAUGCCAAGUUAGCAGUAACACUGUUACUCAGAGAUGCAUUCAGAAUGUAUCCCCCUCAAGCCAUGAAGUGCAGAUACUAACACUUGCCAUCUAAAUACAAGCCUUAUUCAUAUUUCCUCAACAGAUACAAAAGCAAGAUAGACUUAAUGGGUAAAGGAAAUGAUUCAUGCCUUUUCACUUCAUAUUUUGGUGUUUGAUUCUCUUUAGUAGCAUGGGUAUAUAUGGUGGUUUCAAUGAGAAUGGUUCACAAAUUGGUUCAUGUUUGAAUACUUGGUUCCCAGUUGGUGGAACUCUUCCAGGAGGAUUAGGGGGUAAGGCCUUGCUAGAUAGGUAUCACAGGAGAGGGCUUUGAGGCUUCAAAAGUAUAGCACCAUUCCCCAUCUGCUUGCUACCACAUUCCCUGCCAUUUCAUAGACUCUAACCUUCUGAAACUGUGAGCCCCAAAUUAAACAUAUUUCUCUGUAAGUUACUUUGUUCAUGGUGUCAUAUCAUAACAGUAGAAAAGUAGGUAAGACAGUAUAUAAAGUUCAAUGAAAAGAUUUCCAGCUAAUGUUUUUCCAGCUUUUAACUUAUUUCAUUUCAGAUUUAUAUUGAGUAAAGGAAAUAGUGAAACACAAAACUCCCCUGGAGCUUGCCCACAGGCUCUGGCAGGAAGUCUUCAGCCUCCCUUGGCCAAUGCACACUUUGAGCUUUGGUUCCCCAUCUAGAAGUGGAAUGACCACUCUCCUGAGUUGCAGGCAUCCUAGCAGCCUCUGUAGCACUGAAAGAGUUGUCCUCAGGAUUUCCUCACCACCUAUUCUCCCCUCUCCAUCUACUGGGCCCACAGGCUUCUAUCUUCUUUUUGUUCCUCAAACUGUCAAGUUAUGAACCCUUGAUGACAGAGCUAAAGAAACUUGGAGUUUCCAGGGAAACAGAAAGCUCAUUCCUGGCGGUAAAUGGCAUAUGGCUAGGAAGUGUGAGGAACUGGCCUACAACAUACCACUGUGGAUCUAUAAGUGCUCAAGAUCUGAAGGAUGGGUUCUGAGUGUCCCAACAUGGUACUUCCUGUUGGGAUACCCAGGUUUUCCCAUCACCAUUAUACUGCUAACAGUUCCUGCUGAUGCUAUAGCUGUAGACCCUGGGUUCCUUUUGGUAGAUGGCUUGGCUCCAAUGGAAGAAGUGGAGGGCCAGCGAGGUAGUGUCUGGGGUCUCCCCUGGGAGGCAAGCCCAAUGCUAGGCCUCUCUAGCCACUUCCUCAACGAGGAGAUAAUUCCAGUAUCCCUGGGGACAGAACCAGAAUCUUUGCCCUUUCAAGAACACUGUUCAUUGCAAGGUCACAGCCCUGCCUGUUUUUCUUUGUUGAACUAUCCCAGGAACACAGGGAUGUGCUGCUUUCUCACCUGGAAAACAAAAGAAAAGAAGGCACCCUAUUCCACACCUCCUCUGGGUACUGAUUAUCUUACUUUUCUCUGGUGCAAAUCUCCAGAAGGUUAGGACUCACUGUCCCCUCCCUCCCACAACUGGCUUCCACUGGCUUGUCACUGUCAUCCUAGGCCUGAUAUCUUCCCGCCUCAAGUCUCAGCUAUCCUUCUCCUGGGCACUGGAUGUUUCAAUGCUGGAAAAGUAUGAGCCAUGUAGUUUGCUGAGACCACAAAGCCUUUCCUCCACAAAAUGUGGACAGGAACCAGCAUACAAGGCCAUAGGCAACCCCUUGUUCCAUGCUACAAAGGCUGUCUCCACUCCAUGUCCCAGUGACCAGGAUAUGACCCACCACCCCAUCUUGACCUUCUUGGUACUUCAUGGAAUGAACAUGUGAAGGCUAAUCAUUUGGUUGACUGUGACCUGCUGACUGCUCUGUUCUGGUACCUGUGCCAACUUUGUGUUCAAAAGACAACUGAGGGUACCAGGAACCCUGAGACCUAGGAACAUUAGAAAAUGACAUUAGGGGUGGUGGCCUUGGCUCUCUGGGAACAAAUAUCACCCAAUUGUUACCUCCCACCACACCCAUCAUCCCCAGCAGAAAGCAACCAGACUGGGUCUCCUGCUGUACUAAUGUAUUCCAUCUUUCAAAAAGAAAGACAUGAUUUUAAUAUUACUUAACAAUAUGUUAAAAAAGUAGCCAGGCAGGCCUCCGUGUUAAUACGGUUGUACGCUCUAGAACAGACUUGAUGGUGUGAGUACUGGGUGGGUUUCUUGUUUUUAACAUUCUCAUUCUGCAAAGGGUCUUACACAAGCUGGCUACAAGUCAGGGGGUCAAACACAAACAGCGCAACGUGUACACUCGGAAACAGUAGAUUGUGAAAGAGUACAAAGGAGGCCUGCCCGCCCAGUCCGCCUUGGGUGGGACACAGGGCACAUGGGAGCUGAGGGAUGGCUGACACCCUGGCGGGGACAGAUGACAGAACAGGGCAAGAUGCAGAGGCGACAGAGUCACAUGGAUGAUGCAAACUCGUCUCUGGCCACGGCCCAGGCCUCUGAGGCCGUGGUAGUGGAGGAAUUGGCGGGAACUACUGUUCCAUUCCAACAGCACAGAGCUACAAUCAAAGAAGUCUCACUCACAGACUACACGCACACAAGCUAACAACGCAGGUCGAGCAGCAAGUUCUCGGUCUGGGGGUUAUCAGUCCACGGCAUCCCGCCCUACACACCCUGGGUGGGUACCGAAGCUCUGUGGAGCCACUGAAGGGCUUGGCUCUUGAGUGGCGCAGCCCAGCUGCCUCCCACAUAUCCCUCUUCAGGCAGUCCUCAUUCAGUGGGCAGCAAAGGUGGCUUUCUUCAAGCUAAAGUUGGACCAGUUGAUGGACAGUCUUUGUCGGUUCUGUCUAGCAGAGUCCAAGCAGAAUCUGGCAAAACAAAAUGGCAAAUUGUCACAGGACAGAGACUAUACCCAGUCUGGUAACCAUUAUGCCAACCUCUUAUUCUUGCUAGCAAUUCACUGGAGAGACUCAAUGAGGUUUAAGGUCAAAAGUCUCCAUGCUUGGAGGAGUGGUACCACCCUGCCCAAGUGGCUUGUGCAUCUUCUGGUGCUUUCUGACAUUUGAUACUGUGUUUAGGGGAGGAUCAAGACAGUAUUAAAAAAAAAAAAAACAACCCCCCCCCAGCACUUAGUAUAGGACAAAAUGUACCAAGCAUCACUGAAGGGUUCAAGGAAAGCUCUUCUCAUGUGACCAUCUGAGAGCAGCUGACAUUCAGUCGUUACUCUGCCAGAAAAAAGGGGCUAGGGGGUUGCCACUUCCCUAUUUCAGAGGCUCCUAGGGACUGAUGUAAAUUCUGAUACUCUGUCUAAGCUACUACCUAAGUCAUACCCUGAUGACCCAUAGGAGUUUGGAACUGCUGGGCAGCAUCAGGCCAGAAGUCACUACACAAGAAGUAGGACUCCAGGGCAGCCCUACAAUAGGUCUUCCUGUGAUAAAGUCUUGUUCAAUAGCAUGAACUCACUCAAAACAACAAAUAUGUUCAGGGUAAGAAGCUACCAGCUAGCUCAGCCUCCACAGCAGCUGUGAGUCUCAGAAAGGAAGGCACUUGUGGUCACUGUGGUUGGGCAGGAGAGUCACAACUAGGGUCAAUGGCAGAUGCCCACUUGACCAGGAUGUGCCACAAGAGACGCUAGAAGAGCAGGCUACUAAGUUUAAGGAUAACGUUGCCAGGAGCCAAACCAAAACUUCUGUAACUGACCAGAAAGUGUGACAAGCUUCGUAGACAUAAUAGUCUGUGGCAAUUUGGCACCAAGCUUAAAUGACACACAGGGAGCCGUGGUCACACAGACUCAGCUGGUAUCUCUGGUGUUCAUGUGAAACAACAUCUAAAGAAUGAAAUCCAAAGUCUGUAUAAUUUUUGUACAUCCAAAAAUAUUUGUUCCCCAACUGAUUCAAUGUGCACAUUCUCUUAGCUCAGCAGUCACACAGAACCAAGGGCUGGCUGGGUAUGGCCCAUAGCCUGCAUCAAGUGGAUUGAAUCAAAGGCAACAGCUAAGCCCAUGUGUAAAGUUGAGAUUUUGGCCUGUCUUAAACCUAUUCACAAAAGAACUUACUACAAUGGGACAGAUUACAAUACUCUGGCCCUCCACUUCAUCCAAAAAGACAUGUCCUCUGUAUGUGAAGGUCUUCAGGCUUGAACCAUCUGCAAGCUCUGUGCUCUGAGCCAUAAACACUGGAAGUUAAAUAGUUUCUGAAAAAGAUCACCCUUUGGGGAUGGGGACAGCCCAGUGACAAAUGCAUAACUGUUCUUCCAGAGUAUCCACUUUUGGUUCCCAAUACCCAUUUUGGGUGGUUCACAACUUCCUGUAACUCCAGUUCCAGGGCAUCUAAUAGAUCUUCUAUCCUCUGAGAGCAUUCCCACAUGUGUACACAUACACACCCAAAACGUUAAAAUAAAUCUCAAAACAAAACAAAACAAAA
Non-coding RNA from Cricetulus griseus (Chinese hamster), 4574 nucleotides. The record is from RefSeq and is a predicted model, not a curated record. Lineage: Eukaryota; Metazoa; Chordata; Mammalia; Rodentia; Cricetidae.